RNAcentral lists this ribosomal RNA (459 nucleotides) under Cyclophorus courbeti. Its description in RNAcentral is "partial 28S ribosomal RNA". It matches the Rfam family "Eukaryotic large subunit ribosomal RNA", at positions 367 to 659 of the family's 3401-position model. The record is from RNAcentral. Lineage: Eukaryota; Metazoa; Mollusca; Gastropoda; Architaenioglossa; Cyclophoridae.
AAAAGAACUUUGAAGAGAGAGUUCAACAGUACGUGAAACCGCCUAGAGGUAAACGGGUGGAUCCGCAAAGUCGGUCCGCGAAAUUCAGCUCGGAAGGCUGGUCGCAGGCGGUAGGUCGAGAUCUCUUGCGGACUCUCCUGCCGCUUGUACGCUGGCUCGACGUGUGCACUUUUCGCGGGCAGAGCGCCACGACCGGUUUUUGGGCAGUCAGAAGGCGACGAGGAAGGUAAGUGGGCGCUUCGGCGUUUACUGUUAUAGCCUCGCCUGUCCCGAUCUGCUCGAAGACCGAGGAGCCGCCGCUUGGCAACGGGCUAUCCUGCUCUCCUCGGGGGUUCGACAGGCAGAGACUGGGAGACCGUGUCUGCCGACCGCCUCUGCGGACGGAUGGGGGUGCUGUUAGUCCGCCAAGCAUAGGGUCGGUGGCGAAUCGGUCGGCACUCCACCCGACCCGUCUUGAAA